This 300-nucleotide ribosomal RNA is filed under the name uncultured bacterium. RNAcentral's name for it is "bacterial SSU rRNA". It matches the Rfam family "Bacterial small subunit ribosomal RNA", at positions 334 to 626 of the family's 1533-position model. The record is from RNAcentral.
AUAACCUACGGGGCGCAGCAGUGGGGAAUAUUGCGCAAUGGACGAAAGUCUGACGCAGCGACGCCGCGUGAGGGAUGAAGGCUUUCGGAUCGUAAACCUCUGUCAGGAGGGAAGAAAGCGUAUGGCGCCAAUCAGCCAUGCGUUGACGGUACCUGACUAAGAAGCACCGGCUAAAUACGUGCCAGCAGCCGCGGUAAUACGUAUGGUGCAAGCGUUAUCCGGAUUUACUGGGUGUAAAGGGAGCGCAGGCGGCGCGUUAAGCCUGGUGUGAAAGCCCGCGGCCCAACCGCGGGACUGCAU